CCUACGGGUGGCAGCAGUGAGGAAUAUUGGUCAAUGGACGAGAGUCUGAACCAGCCAAGUAGCGUGAAGGAGGACUGCCCUAUGGGUUGUAAACUUCUUUUAUAAAGGAAUAAAACGAGGCACGUGUGCCUUUUUCCAUGUACUUUAUGAUUAAGGAUCGGCUAACUACGUGCCAGCAGCCGCGGUAAUACGGAGGAUCCGAGCGUUAUCCGGAUUUAUUGGGUGUAAAGGGAGCGUAGAUGGGUUGUUAAGUCAGUCGUGAAAGUUUGCGGCUCAACCGUAAAAUUGCAAUUGAUACUGGCAGGCUUGAGUGCAGGUGAGGUAGGCGGAAUUCGUGGUGUAGCGGUGAAAUGCUUAGAUAUUACGAAGAACCCCGAUUGCGAAGGCAGCUUACUAAACUGUGACUGACAUUGAUGCUCGAAAGUGUGGGUAGCAAACAGGAUUAGAUACCCCAGUAGUC
Molecule: ribosomal RNA, 460 nt
Filed under: uncultured bacterium
Lineage: Bacteria
Description: partial 16S ribosomal RNA
Rfam family: Bacterial small subunit ribosomal RNA
Source: RNAcentral